RNAcentral lists this ribosomal RNA (250 nucleotides) under uncultured bacterium. RNAcentral's name for it is "partial 16S ribosomal RNA". It matches the Rfam family "Bacterial small subunit ribosomal RNA", at positions 524 to 773 of the family's 1533-position model. The record is from RNAcentral.
UACGGAGGGUGCAAGCGUUAAUCGGAAUUACUGGGCGUAAAGCGUGCGUAGGCGGCUGAUUAAGUCAGAUGUGAAAGCCCCGGGCUUAACCUGGGAACUGCAUUUGAUACUGGUGAGCUAGAGUUGAGUAGAGGAGAGGGGAAUUUCCGGUGUAGCGGUGAAAUGCGUAGAGAUCGGAAGGAACACCAGUGGCGAAGGCGCCUCUCUGGACUCAAACUGACGCUGAGGUACGAAAGCGUGGGUAGCAAAC